GAUGAACGCUGGCGGCGUGCUUAACACAUGCAAGUCGAACGAGGUAGCAAUACCUAGUGGCGGACGGGUGAGUAACGCGUAGGUAAACUGCCCAUUGGUGGGGGAUACCCAGUCGAAAGAUUGGUUAAUACCGCAUACGCUGGCCUCUUGUAAUAGGGGGUCAGGAAAGAUUUAUUGCCGAUGGAUGUGCCUGCGUCUGAUUAGCUAGUUGGUGAGGUAACGGCUCACCAAGGCGACGAUCAGUAGCUGGUCUGAGAGGACGAUCAGCCACACUGGAACUGAGACACGGUCCAGACUCCUACGGGAGGCAG
RNAcentral lists this ribosomal RNA (311 nucleotides) under uncultured cyanobacterium. RNAcentral's name for it is "bacterial SSU rRNA". It matches the Rfam family "Bacterial small subunit ribosomal RNA", at positions 28 to 351 of the family's 1533-position model. The record is from RNAcentral. Lineage: Bacteria; Bacillati; Cyanobacteriota.